This 705-nucleotide long non-coding RNA is filed under the name Olea europaea (common olive). RNAcentral's name for it is "long non-coding RNA (OEUR_LNC009759)". The record is from RNAcentral. Lineage: Eukaryota; Viridiplantae; Streptophyta; Magnoliopsida; Lamiales; Oleaceae.
AUUAUUAUUUAUUAUUCUUUCCCAAGAUAUAAUAAACCUAUGAUUACCACGAGACGAUCAUAUUUCUAGUCCGAAUUCAUAUGGCAAACAUGUAUUGACAUUCAGAAUUAUCACAUAUGAUCGCACACGUCACAAAUAUUAUUCCUAACAUUUAUUGUCCGUGUGUCCCAAUAAUAGUGUUCUACCUACUGUGAGUUUUCCAACACAAUGAAUAAGCAACUUACUACCCUAAUUGUGCGCAAACAUUAAAACAAUAUAAUUAUGCAUAUUAAUGGAAUCACAACACAAGAAUUAAAAUAAAAACACAUGUCUCGAAUGAAAAUUAAGAAUUAAACAAUUUUGUCAUCCAUCCAAUACAUGAGAAAAAUUAGCCUAGCAUAAUGUUGGGAUUAAACACAUAAAAGUGGAAGGAAAUCACCGAAAAUUGAUGGAAAGUGAUUAAAUUCCAAAUUCUUUCUUCAACUGCUUUCAGUUCGUCUCCGUCCUAGUGGCUGCCAUCUCCAAUUUGGUGCGUAAAUAUAUAGCCUUCCUCAAAAACAGCCGUCUGAUCUCUUCCUUUCUUUUUUUCGCGUCCAACAACCACCACCAAUGUGUAUAUGUAUAAUAAUUCUCAGCAAUAGGCAACCACAAAUUCCCUUUCCUCCUUAGCUUUCUGUGCGUCAAGUUAAUAAUAAUGGCCCCCCAAAGCCCUACUCCUUUUUUCGG